RNAcentral lists this ribosomal RNA (486 nucleotides) under low G+C Gram-positive bacterium BAL128. RNAcentral's name for it is "bacterial SSU rRNA". It matches the Rfam family "Bacterial small subunit ribosomal RNA", at positions 30 to 495 of the family's 1533-position model. Lineage: Bacteria; Bacillati; Bacillota. The record is from RNAcentral.
CGAACGCUGGCGGCGUGCCUAAUACAUGCAAGUCGAGCGGAGUUGAUGARGUGCUUGCACUUCUGAUACUUAGCGGCGGACGGGUGAGUAACACGUAGGUAACCUGCCCGUAAGACUGGGAUAACUACCGGAAACGGUAGCUAAUACCGGAUAAUUUGUUUUCUCGCAUGAGAGAAYAAUGAAAGGCGGAGCAAUCUGCCACUUACGGAUGGGCCUGCGGCGCAUUAGCUAGUUGGUGAGGUAACGGCUCACCAAGGCGACGAUGCGUAGCCGACCUGAGAGGGUGAACGGCCACACUGGGACUGAGACACGGCCCAGACUCCUACGGGAGGCAGCAGUAGGGAAUCUUCCGCAAUGGACGAAAGUCUGACGGAGCAACGCCGCGUGAGUGAUGAAGGUUUUCGGAUCGUAAAGCUCUGUUGCCAGGGAAGAACGCUUGGGAGAGUAACUGCUCUCAAGGUGACGGUACCUGAGAAGAAAGCCCCG